Molecule: ribosomal RNA, 253 nt
Filed under: uncultured bacterium
Lineage: Bacteria
Description: partial 16S ribosomal RNA
Rfam family: Bacterial small subunit ribosomal RNA
Source: RNAcentral
UACGGGGGGGGCAAGCGUUGCUCGGAAUCACUGGGCGUAAAGCGCACGUAGGCGGAUCUUUAAGUCAGGGGUGAAAUCCCAAGGCUCAACCUUGGAACUGCCUUUGAUACUGGGGAUCUCGAGUCCGGAAGAGGUGAGUGGAACUGCGAGUGUAGAGGUGAAAUUCGUAGAUAUUCGCAAGAACACCAGUGGCGAAGGCGGCUCACUGGUCCGGUACUGACGCUGAGGUGCGAAAGCGUGGGGAGCAAACAGG